Molecule: ribosomal RNA, 492 nt
Filed under: uncultured bacterium
Lineage: Bacteria
Description: partial 16S ribosomal RNA
Rfam family: Bacterial small subunit ribosomal RNA
Source: RNAcentral
AUUGAACGCUGGCGGCAUGCUUUACACAUGCAAGUCGAACGGUAACAGGCCUUCGGGUGCUGACGAGUGGCGAACGGGUGAGUAAUGCAUCGGAACGUACCCAGAGGUGGGGGAUAACGCAGCGAAAGCUGUGCUAAUACCGCAUGUGAUCUGAGGAUGAAAGCGGGGGACCGAGCAGCAAUGUUUGGCCUCGCGCCUUUGGAGCGGCCGAUGUCGGAUUAGCUAGUUGGUGGGGUAAAGGCCUACCAAGGCGACGAUCCGUAGCUGGUCUGAGAGGACGACCAGCCACACUGGGACUGAGACACGGCCCAGACUCCUACGGGAGGCAGCAGUGGGGAAUUUUGGACAAUGGGCGCGAGCCUGAUCCAGCAAUGCCGCGUGCGGGAAGAAGGCCUUCGGGUUGUAAACCGCUUUUGGCAGGAACGAAACGGUGUCCGCUAAUACCGGGCGCUAAUGACGGUACCUGCAGAAUAAGCACCGGCUAACUACGCG